This 466-nucleotide ribosomal RNA is filed under the name uncultured bacterium. Its description in RNAcentral is "partial 16S ribosomal RNA". It matches the Rfam family "Bacterial small subunit ribosomal RNA", at positions 28 to 507 of the family's 1533-position model. The record is from RNAcentral.
GAUGAACGCUGGCGGCGUGCUUAACACAUGCAAGUCGAACGGAAAGGCUACUGCUUGGAGGGGUACUCGAGUGGCGAAGGGGUGAGAGACACGUGGGUGAUCUGCCCAGCACUUCGGGAUAUGCCUGGGAGACUGGGUAUAAUAUCGGAUAGGAUGAUGGUUUGGAUGUGAUUGUGGAAAGUUUUUUCGGUGUGGGGUGAGCUCGCGGCCUAUCAGCUUGUUGGUGGGGGAAUGGCAUACCAAGGCGUCGACGGGUAGCCGGCCUGAGAGGGGGGACGGCCACAAUGGGACUGAGGGACGGACCAGACGCGUACGGGAGGCAGUGGUCGGGAAUAUGGCACAAUGGGCGCAAGCCUGAGGCAGCGACGCCGCGUUCGGGAUGACGGCCUUCGGGUUGUAAACACCUGUCGCUAGGGACGAAGCGCAAGUGACGGUACCUGGAGAAGAAGCACCGGCUAACUACGUG